AUCUAGCCAUGGGCAGGUUGAAGGUUGGGUAACACUAACUGGAGGACCGAACCGACUAAUGUUGAAAAAUUAGCGGAUGACCUGUGGCUGGGGGUGAAAGGCCAAUCAAACCGGGAGAUAGCUGGUUCUCCCCGAAAGCUAUUUAGGUAGCGCCUCGUGAAUUCAUCUCCGGGGGUAGAGCACUGUUUCGGCUAGGGGGCCAUCCCGGCUUACCAACCCGAUGCAAACUGCGAAUACCGGAGAAUGUUAUCACGGGAGACACACGGCGGGUGCUAACGUCCGUCGUGAAGAGGGAAACAACCCAGACCGCCAGCUAAGGUCCCAAAGUCAUGGUUAAGUGGGAAACGAUGUGGGAAGGCCCAGACAGCCAGGAUGUUGGCUUAGAAGCAGCCAUCAUUUAAAGAAAGCGUAAUAGCUCACUGGUCGAGUCGGCCUGCGCG
RNAcentral lists this ribosomal RNA (440 nucleotides) under Salmonella enterica. Its description in RNAcentral is "partial 23S ribosomal RNA". It matches the Rfam family "Bacterial large subunit ribosomal RNA", at positions 728 to 1165 of the family's 2925-position model. Lineage: Bacteria; Pseudomonadati; Pseudomonadota; Gammaproteobacteria; Enterobacterales; Enterobacteriaceae. The record is from RNAcentral.